GUUCUCUUAUGAGGCCGGUCAUCGGAAUGGGUACAAUUUAAACCCUUUAACGAGUAUCUAUGAGAGGGCAAGUCUGGUGCCAGCAGCCGCGGUAAUUCCAGCUCUCAAAGUGCAUAGAAUUAUUGCUGCGGUUAAAAAGCUCGUAGUUGGAUCUGUGCCAUAGGACGUGGUCCACCUUCGGGUGCGUACUACGCUCCUAGGCUUUUUGCUGGUUUUCCCGUCGUAGCCUUCACUGGUUGCGGCGGGUGGCUGGCGAGUUUACUUUGAGAAAAUCAGAGUGCUCAAUACAGGCGUAUCGCUUGAAUGAUUGUGCAUGGAAUAAUAGAAAAGGAUUUCGGUCCUCUUUUAUUGGUUUUGUGGACUGAGAUAAUGGUUAACAGGGACAAACGGGGGCAUUCGUAUCUCUGCGUGAGAGGUGAAAUUCUUGGACCGUAGAGAGACGCCCUACUGCGAAAGCAUUUGCCAAGAAUGUCUUCAUUAAUCAAGAACGAAAGUCAGAGGUUCGAAGGCGAUCAGAUACCGCCCUAGUUCUGACCGUAAACGAUGCCAACUAGCGAUCCGCCGGUGGAUUUUUAGCCCUGGUGGGUAGCUUCCCGGAAACGAAAGUCUUCCGGUUCCGGGGGAAGUAUGGUUGCAAAGCUGAAACUUAAAGGAAUUGACGGAAGGGCACCACCAGGAGUGGAGCCUGCGGCUUAAUUUGACCCAACACGGGGAAACUCACCCGGCCCGGACACCGUAAGGAUUGACAGAUUGAUAGCUCUUUCAUGAUUCGGUGGUUGGUGGUGCAUGGCCGUUCUUAGUUCGUGGAUCGAUUUGUCUGGUUUAUUCCGAUAACGAGCGAGACUCUAGCCUACUAAAUAGUAACGAGAUUAUCAAUGUCUCAGUUGCUUCUUAGAGGGAUUUUCGGUGUUUAGCCGCACGAGAUUGAGCAAUAACAGGUCUGUGAUGCCCUUAGAUGUCCGGGGCUGCACGCGCGCUACACUGGCGAAAUCAGCGUGCUGUAUCCAUUCUCGAAAGGGAUUGGUAAACCCAUGAAAAUUUGCCGUGCUUGGGAUCGGAAAUUGCAAUUAUUUUCCGUGAACGAGGAAUUCCAAGUAAGUGCGAGUCAUCAACUCGCUCUGAUUACGUCCCUGCCCUUUGUACACACCGCCCGUCGCUGCCCGGGACUGAGCCAUUUCGAGAAGAUCAGGGACUGGUGGACUGUGGCCUUUUCGGAGGUCCGGUUCGCUGGAAACUGAUUUGAUCGCAGUGGCUUGAACCGGGCAAAAGUCGUAACAAGGUAGCCGUAGGUGAACCUGCGGCUG
This 1304-nucleotide ribosomal RNA is filed under the name metagenome. RNAcentral's name for it is "SSU rRNA". It matches the Rfam family "Eukaryotic small subunit ribosomal RNA", at positions 488 to 1823 of the family's 1831-position model. The record is from RNAcentral.